CCCUGGGUAAGUCGGGACCUAAGGCGAGGCCGACAGGCGUAGUCGAUGGACAACGGGUUGAUAUUCCCGUACCGGCGAAGAACCGCCCAAGCUAAUCCAGUAGUGCUAAGUGUCUGAAUCCCAGUGACUGAUCCCUUCGGGGUGACGCGUUGGGCCUAGCGCACGACCCCAUUCUGGUGCGGUUAGCGUAUUAACAGGUGUGACGCAGGAAGGUAGUCCAAGCCAGGCGAUGGUUGUCCUGGUGCAAGUGCGUAGGCCGAGAGAUAGGCAAAUCCGUCUCUCACAUAGGCUGAGACACGAUGCGGAUAAAAAGUGGAUGAUCCUAUGCUGCCAAGAAAAGCAUCGACGCGAGGUUCUAGCCGCCCGUACCCCAAACCGACUCAGGUGGUCAGGUAGAGAAUACCAAGGAGAUCGAGAGAAUCGUGGUUAAGGAACUCGGCAAAAUGCCCCCGUAACUUCGGGAGAAGGGGGGCCUUCGACGUAUUAGGACUUGCUCCGAAAGCGUUUGGAGGCCGCAGAGACUAGUGGGUAGCGACUGUUUACUAAAAACACAGGUCCGUGCCAAGUCGCAAGACGAUGUAUACGGACUGACGCCUGCCCGGUGCUGGAAGGUUAAGAGGACCGGUUAGCCGCAAGGCGAAGCUGAGAAUUUAAGCCCCAGUAAACGGCGGUGGUAACUAUAACCAUCCUAAGGUAGCGAAAUUCCUUGUCGGGUAAGUUCCGACCUGCACGAAUGGCGUAACGACUUCCCAACUGUCUCAACCGCGAACUCGGCGAAAUUGCAUUA
This 787-nucleotide ribosomal RNA is filed under the name Pelobium manganitolerans. RNAcentral's name for it is "Bacterial large subunit ribosomal RNA". It matches the Rfam family "Bacterial large subunit ribosomal RNA", at positions 1373 to 2049 of the family's 2925-position model. The record is from Rfam by way of RNAcentral. Lineage: Bacteria; Pseudomonadati; Bacteroidota; Sphingobacteriia; Sphingobacteriales; Sphingobacteriaceae.